AUUAGAUACCCUGGUAGUCCAUGCCGUAAACGUUGGGCACUAGGUGUGGGGGACAUUCCACGUUCUCCGCGCCGUAGCUAACGCAUUAAGUGCCCCGCCUGGGGAGUACGGCCGCAAGGCUAAAACUCAAAGGAAUUGACGGGGGCCCGCACAAGCGGCGGAGCAUGCGGAUUAAUUCGAUGCAACGCGAAGAACCUUACCAAGGCUUGACAUCCACCGGACUACCCCAGAGAUGGGGUUUCCCUUCGGGGCUGGUGGACAGGUGGUGCAUGGUUGUCGUCAGCUCGUGUCGUGAGAUGUUGGGUUAAGUCCCGCAACGAGCGCAACCCUCGUUCUAUGUUGCCAGCACGUGAUGGUGGGGACUCAUAGGAGACUGCCGGGGUCAACUCGGAGGAAGGUGGGGAUGACGUCAAAUCAUCAUGCCCCUUAUGUCUUGGGCUUCACGCAUGCUACAAUGGCCGGUACAAAGGGUUGCGAUACUGUGAGGUGGAGCUAAUCCCAAAAAGCCGGUCUCAGUUCGGAUUGAGGUCUGCAACUCGACCUCAUGAAGUCGGAGUCGCUAGUAAUCGCAGAUCAGCAACGCUGCGGUGAAUACGUUCCCGGGCCUUGUACACACCGCCCGUCAAGUCACGAAAGUUGGUAACACCCGA
This 650-nucleotide ribosomal RNA is filed under the name Kocuria turfanensis. Its description in RNAcentral is "bacterial SSU rRNA". It matches the Rfam family "Bacterial small subunit ribosomal RNA", at positions 777 to 1424 of the family's 1533-position model. The record is from RNAcentral. Lineage: Bacteria; Bacillati; Actinomycetota; Actinomycetes; Micrococcales; Micrococcaceae.